This 332-nucleotide long non-coding RNA is filed under the name Mytilus galloprovincialis (Mediterranean mussel). Lineage: Eukaryota; Metazoa; Mollusca; Bivalvia; Mytilida; Mytilidae. The record is from RNAcentral.
CAAGCUUUUCUGGUUCCAUUAUUGAACGAUGAAAUUGUUUGCCUUUUCGUUCAUAGUGCAUGUAAAGGGGCAUAUUGCCUAGCCUCGUCAAUCUUAUACAUUGUUAGUCCAGGUAUCAUAUUUUGAAGUUUAGAAUAUUUUGCGCGUGAACAGUUAUUUUCACGACAAAAAUGUCACGUACAAAUAAAGGCAACAAAGCGUCAAAAUACAGUCGUUCUUUUCUUUUCUUUUUUGUUAACGUUAAUACUGCAAAUAUUGACAUUUAAAUGUCUAAAAUGUUACUAAUAAUUGCAAAGUGAGGGAAUAUACAUCCUUCAGUUAUACUGCAACGG